AACCGUUCUGUGGGCGGAGUCCUCUCGCAGCAUCCGCCAGGUAGCUUCUUAGUCUCUUCCCCUAGCUCUAGGAGCUCCUGAGUGCACACGCCGUACCCGUCCCUUGUCGGGAAUCCUGUCGCAGGUUUUUAAGCAACAGUCCUCAGGAGGGCCAAGGGAGUCUCACAGUGAUGUCUUCCCCCAGGCUCAUUCCCCUGUGGAAAGAUUUAAAACUCCUCCUAAAUGACACCAUAAAUAAUAGCAAGCAACCUUCAGAAGACCCAAAGAAUUGCCUAGUUGUGCUGAGCGACCGGUCCCAGGUACUGUUCAAAGAGUCUCGCUAUCCUCAAAAUAUGCCGUGUGUAUGCUAUUACUUCAGUGAUGCCCACUUCUUCGCCUCCCUCUCUUGGGUGACAUCAAGCACAAAAGAAAUACAAGUAAGACUGCCUUUCUUCCCCUUCUUGGCCCAUUCUCCAAGAGCCAUGCCCAUAUAGCUGUUAGCCCAGAUUGACAAAGGAGGAUAUUCUCCAUGAAUGAAUGUGGUCUGGAACCAGAAAUCUCUC
RNAcentral lists this small RNA (542 nucleotides) under Pongo abelii (Sumatran orangutan). Its description in RNAcentral is "retained intron". Lineage: Eukaryota; Metazoa; Chordata; Mammalia; Primates; Hominidae. The record is from RNAcentral.